UCCCUACGGGAGGCAGCAGUGAGGAAUAUUGGUCAAUGGCCGGAAGGCUGAACCAGCCAAGCCGCGUGAAGGACGAAGGUGCCAAGCAUUGUAAACUUCUUUUGUCAAGGGACAAAAUCAGGCUCGAGAGCCUGACCGAGGGUACUUGAAGAAAAAGCAUCGGCUAACUACGUGCCAGCAGCCGCGGUAAUACGUAGGGAGCGAGCGUUGUCCGGAUUUACUGGGUGUAAAGGGUGCGUAGGCGGGUAAGCAAGUCAGAAGUGAAAUCCAUGGGCUUAACCCAUGAACUGCUUUUGAAACUGUUU
Molecule: ribosomal RNA, 305 nt
Filed under: uncultured bacterium
Lineage: Bacteria
Description: bacterial SSU rRNA
Rfam family: Bacterial small subunit ribosomal RNA
Source: RNAcentral